Triticum aestivum (bread wheat) is the source of this 163-nucleotide long non-coding RNA. RefSeq lists it as uncharacterized. The transcript has 3 exons. NCBI's taxonomy places the organism in Eukaryota, Viridiplantae, Streptophyta, Magnoliopsida, Poales, Poaceae. The record is from RefSeq and is a predicted model, not a curated record.
UUCACCGUCGAGUCAUCAAAGCCGUCAACUAAUUCAGAGGGGCUCGGCUGGCCCGGUCGCCCUACGCUACUGGCGCUUCCAAAAGCGAAGCUCUCGUCUUUGGCGACCAGCAAACGGAGGGCUAAAACCUGUAGUUUUGAAGCAAAGAGAUCGGAAGAGUGGC